CAGUCGCCACGGUAAUACAGAGGGUGCGAGCGUUAAUCGGAUUUACUGGGCGUAAAGCGUGCGUAGGCGGCUUUUUAAGUCGGAUGUGAAAUCCCUGAGCUUAACUUAGGAAUUGCAUUCGAUACUGGGAAGCUAGAGUAUGGGAGAGGAUGGUAGAAUUCCAGGUGUAGCGGUGAAAUGCGUAGAGAUCUGGAGGAAUACCGAUGGCGAAGGCAGCCAUCUGGCCUAAUACUGACGCUGAGGUACGAAAGCAUGGGGAGCAAACAGGAUUAGAUACCGCGUAGUCCUGUCUCUUAUACAC
Molecule: ribosomal RNA, 301 nt
Filed under: uncultured bacterium
Lineage: Bacteria
Description: partial 16S ribosomal RNA
Rfam family: Bacterial small subunit ribosomal RNA
Source: RNAcentral